RNAcentral lists this ribosomal RNA (363 nucleotides) under uncultured bacterium. Its description in RNAcentral is "bacterial SSU rRNA". It matches the Rfam family "Bacterial small subunit ribosomal RNA", at positions 129 to 507 of the family's 1533-position model. The record is from RNAcentral.
UUUCCUAGAGGGGGACGAACAGUUGAACGACUGCUAAUACCGCAUGACACAUCGAAGGGGCGAUCCCUUUGAUGUCAAAGAUUUUAUCGCUGAAAGAUGGCCUCGCGUCCCAUUAGAUAGUUGGCGGGGUAACGGCCCACCAAGUCGACGAUGGGUAGCCGGACUGAGAGGUUGACCGGCCACAUUGGGACUGAGAUACGGCCCAGACUCCUACGGGAGGCAGCAGUGGGGAAUAUUGGGCAAUGGACGCAAGUCUGACCCAGCAACGCCGCGUGAAGGAAGAAGGCUUUCGGGUUGUAAACUUCUUUUGUCAGGGAAGAGUAGAAGACGGUACCUGACGAAUAAGCCACGGCUAACUACGUG